CAUUCUGUUAUUCAUGGCCGUCAAGUCUUAACCAUCACAUCACCAGACCGUCAUGAACAACCAAAAUGAUGAGAUCACGAACGCAGACGCAAAGUUAGGAGUACUAAUCGCUGAAACCCCACUUGUUGAGUUGGCUUUUGCAGCAGAAGGUGGCUUAGCGGUAGCAGCAGAAGGUGGCUUAGCAGUAGCGGCAGUAGCAUCAGCAACAACGGGCUUAGUAGUAGAGGAAGGUGGGGAUGGUGGCUCGUCAAAUUCAUAAUCAUCAUCAUUAGGAGGUUGUGGAGGAAGUGGUUUAGAUGAUGAACCAACAUCAAAAGAACCAUCAGGAUUCAUGAAACGUAUGGAACUAUCAAUAUGAAGCACCG
RNAcentral lists this long non-coding RNA (365 nucleotides) under Brassica napus (rape). Its description in RNAcentral is "long non-coding RNA (BNAP_LNC002096)". The record is from RNAcentral. Lineage: Eukaryota; Viridiplantae; Streptophyta; Magnoliopsida; Brassicales; Brassicaceae.